This 129-nucleotide small RNA is filed under the name Drosophila guanche. Lineage: Eukaryota; Metazoa; Arthropoda; Insecta; Diptera; Drosophilidae. The record is from RNAcentral.
AUAGUUUGUCCACUGGAGAACAAUAAAUUUUUAACUGAUUUUUGGAAACAGACGAAGUGCAAGGGCUUGCUCCGCCUCUGUCUCGUGUUGGCUCGGUAUAGCAAUACCGCCGGGAUUUGCUAUAUUCUU